CCUACGUGAGGCAGCAGUGGGGAAUAUUGCACAAUGGGGGGAACCCUGAUGCAGCGAUGCCGCGUGGAGGAAGAAGGUUUUCGGAUUGUAAACUCCUUUUAUCAGGGACGAUAAUGACGGUACCUGAAGAAAAAGCUCCGGCUAACUACGUGCCAGCAGCCGCGGUAAUACGUAGGGAGUGAGCGUUGUCCGGAAUUACUGGGUGUAAAGGGAGCGUAGGCGGGACGGCAAGUCAGAUGUGAAAACUGAGGGCUCAACCUUCAGACUGCAUUUGAAACUGCUGUUCUUGAGUGAAGUAGAGGUAAGCGGAAUGCCUAGUGUAGCGGUGAAAUGCGUAGAUAUUAGGAGGAACACCAGAGGCGAAGGCGGCUAACUGGACUGCAACUGACGCUGAGGCACGAAAGUGUGGGGAGCAAACAGGAUUAGAUACCCUUGUAGUC
RNAcentral lists this ribosomal RNA (440 nucleotides) under uncultured bacterium. RNAcentral's name for it is "partial 16S ribosomal RNA". It matches the Rfam family "Bacterial small subunit ribosomal RNA", at positions 338 to 795 of the family's 1533-position model. The record is from RNAcentral.